Molecule: non-coding RNA, 63 nt
Organism: Roseburia intestinalis XB6B4
Lineage: Bacteria; Bacillati; Bacillota; Clostridia; Lachnospirales; Lachnospiraceae
Source: Rfam
UGGGAAAUAGUUCAACAGGAAGAAUAAAAACAAAAGAUGUGGGUUCGAAUCCCGCUUUCCCGA